Molecule: non-coding RNA, 72 nt
Organism: Tigriopus californicus
Lineage: Eukaryota; Metazoa; Arthropoda; Copepoda; Harpacticoida; Harpacticidae
Source: the annotation of a RefSeq genome assembly
GGGGAUGUAGCGCAGUGGUAGCGCGUUCGCUUUGCAUUGUGAAAGGCCCCGGGUUCAACCCCGGCAUCUCCA